GAUGAACGCUGGCGGCGUGCCUAAUACAUGCAAGUCGAGCGAACAGACGAGGAGCUUGCUCCUCUGACGUUAGCGGCGGACGGGUGAGUAACACGUGGAUAACCUACCUAUAAGACUGGGAUAACUUCGGGAAACCGGAGCUAAUACCGGAUAAUAUAUUGAACCGCAUGGUUCAAUAGUGAAAGACGGUUUUGCUGUCACUUAUAGCUGGAUCCGCGCCGCAUUAGCUAGUUGGUAAGGUAACGGCUUACCAAGGCAACGAUGCGUAGCCGACCUGAGAGGGUGAUCGGCCACACUGGAACUGAGACACGGUCCAGACUCCUACGGGAGGCAGCAGUAGGGAAUCUUCCGCAAUGGGCGAAAGCCUGACGGAGCAACGCCGCGUGAGUGAUGAAGGUCUUCGGAUCGUAAAACUCUGUUAUUAGGGAAGAACAAAUGUGGAAGUAACUAUGCACGUCUUGACGGUACCUAAUCAGAAAGCCACGGCUAACUACGUG
This 497-nucleotide ribosomal RNA is filed under the name uncultured bacterium. Its description in RNAcentral is "partial 16S ribosomal RNA". It matches the Rfam family "Bacterial small subunit ribosomal RNA", at positions 28 to 507 of the family's 1533-position model. The record is from RNAcentral.